RNAcentral lists this microRNA precursor (103 nucleotides) under Marmota monax (woodchuck). Lineage: Eukaryota; Metazoa; Chordata; Mammalia; Rodentia; Sciuridae. The record is from RNAcentral.
AGCAUAACUGCUGGAUCCUAGGUUAAGAGUAUAUUUAGUUUUGGAAAUAACUGCCAAACUUUCUUUUAAAACUGGCUGUACAUUUUUCAUUCCCAUCAUCAGU